GACAGAGGGUGCGAGCGUUGUUCGGAAUUAUUGGGCGUAAAGGGCGCGUAGGUGGUUUAGCAAGUCGAGUGUGAAAGCCCAGUGCUUAACGCGGGAAGUGCACGCGAAACUGCUAAACUGGAGUGCCGGAGAGGGCAGUGGAAUUCCCAGAGUAGAGGUGAAAUUCGUAGAUUUUGGGAGGAACACCGGGAGCGAAGGCGACUGCCUGGACGGCAACUGACACUUAAGGCGCGAAAGCGUGGGGAGCAAACAGG
This 254-nucleotide ribosomal RNA is filed under the name uncultured bacterium. RNAcentral's name for it is "partial 16S ribosomal RNA". It matches the Rfam family "Bacterial small subunit ribosomal RNA", at positions 524 to 776 of the family's 1533-position model. The record is from RNAcentral.